CUUGCUGUGGAUAAUUUGGCUAUUUUGAUGGAUAGAGCGUUUGAAGGGGGUUUGGUCUGUGGCCUGACCAAAAAUCAUAAAGAGAAUGAUGUUUGCAUUCUGCAAUAUGAUGACACUAUACUCCUCUUCCAAGAUGACUUGGAACAGGCUAGAAACAUCAAGAGAAUACUGGGCAUUUUUGAAAUCAUGCCAGGACUGAAAAUAAAUUUUCAUAAAAGUGAAGUAAUAUGUGUGGGCUUGGAGGAUGACGGAGCUAAACUUUUUGAAGAGAUUCUCACCUGCAAAAGAGGGGCACUCCCAUUUAAGUACCUUGGAAUCCCAGUCGAUGAUCGUAGAUUGAAGAAUAGUGAUUGGAAUCCUUCAGUUAACAAAACUGAGAAGAGAAUGGGGGGCUGGCUAGGGAGGUUUCUUAACAUGGCUGGACGUACGACCCUG
RNAcentral lists this ribosomal RNA (435 nucleotides) under Triticum aestivum (bread wheat). RNAcentral's name for it is "partial small subunit ribosomal RNA". The record is from RNAcentral. Lineage: Eukaryota; Viridiplantae; Streptophyta; Magnoliopsida; Poales; Poaceae.